UACGAAGGGGGCUAGCGUUGUUCGGAAUUACUGGGCGUAAAGCGCGUGUAGGCGGUUGGUUAAGUCCGGUGUGAAAGCCUUGAGCUCAACUCAAGAAAUGCACUUGAUACUGGAUGACUAGAGGACCGGAGAGGAUAGUGGAAUUCCCAGUGUAGUGGUGAAAUACGUAGAGAUUGGGAAGAACACCAGUGGCGAAGGCGGCUAUCUGGACGGUUUCUGACGCUAAGACGCGAAAGCGUGGGGAGCAAACAGG
RNAcentral lists this ribosomal RNA (253 nucleotides) under uncultured bacterium. RNAcentral describes it as "partial 16S ribosomal RNA". It matches the Rfam family "Bacterial small subunit ribosomal RNA", at positions 524 to 776 of the family's 1533-position model. The record is from RNAcentral.